GAUGAACGCUGGCGGCGUGCCUAAUACAUGCAAGUCGAGCGAACGGACGAGAAGCUUGCUUCUCUGAUGUUAGCGGCGGACGGGUGAGUAACACGUGGAUAACCUACCUAUAAGACUGGGAUAACUUCGGGAAACCGGAGCUAAUACCGGAUAAUAUUUUGAACCGCAUGGUUCAAAAGUGAAAGACGGUCUUGCUGUCACUUAUAGAUGGAUCCGCGCUGCAUUAACUAGUUGGUAAGGUAACGGCUUACCAAGGCAACGAUGCAUAGCCGACCUGAGAGGGUGAUCGGCCACACGGGAACUGAGACACGGUCCAGACUCCUACGGGAGGCAGCAGUAGGGAAUCUUCCGCAAUGGGCGAAAGCCUGACGGAGCAACGACGCGUGAGUGAUGAAGGUCUUCGGAUCGUAAAACUCUGUUAUUAGGGAAGAACAUAUGUGUAAGUAACUGUGCACAUCUUGACGGUACAUAAUCAGAAAGCCACGGCUAACUACGUG
This 497-nucleotide ribosomal RNA is filed under the name uncultured bacterium. RNAcentral describes it as "partial 16S ribosomal RNA". It matches the Rfam family "Bacterial small subunit ribosomal RNA", at positions 28 to 507 of the family's 1533-position model. The record is from RNAcentral.